UAGGGAAUCUUCCGCAAUGGACGAAAGUCUGACGGAGCAACGCCGCGUGAGUGAUGAAGGUUUUCGGAUCGUAAAACUCUGUUAUCAGGGAAGAACAAGUAUCGGAGUAACUGCCGGUACCUUGACGGUACCUGACCAGAAAGCCACGGCUAACUACGUGCCAGCAGCCGCGGUAAUACGUAGGUGGCAAGCGUUGUCCGGAAUUAUUGGGCGUAAAGCGCGCGCAGGCGGUUUCUUAAGUCUGAUGUGAAAGCCCACGGCUCAACCGUGGAGGGUCAUUGGAAACUGGGGGACUUGAGUGCAGAAGAGAAGAGCGGAAUUCCACGUGUAGCGGUGAAAUGCGUAGAGAUGUGGAGGAACACCAGUGGCGAAGGCGGCUCUUUGGUCUGUAACUGACGCUGAGGCGCGAAAGCGUGGGGAGCAAACAGGAUUAGAUACCCCCGUAGUCC
Molecule: ribosomal RNA, 449 nt
Filed under: uncultured bacterium
Lineage: Bacteria
Description: bacterial SSU rRNA
Rfam family: Bacterial small subunit ribosomal RNA
Source: RNAcentral